AACCUUUACACUGCACGACAGUGCGAUAAGGGAAUCCCAAGUGCGUAGGCAUAGAGCCUACGCUUUUGUCCACCGUAGGGAGGUGGACGAAUAAGGGCUGGGCAAGACCGGUGCCAGCCGCCGCGGUAAUACCGGCAGCCCGAGUGAUGGCCGAUCUUAUUGGGCCUAAAGCGUCCGUAGCUGGCCGCGCAAGUCUAUCGGAAAAUCCACCCGCUCAACGGGUGGGCGUCCGGUAGAAACUGCGUGGCUUGGGACCGGAAGGCGCGACGGGUACGUCCGGGGUAGGAGUGAAAUCCCGUAAUCCUGGACGGACCGCCGAUGGCGAAAGCACGUCGCGAAGACGGAUCCGACAGUGAGGGACGAAAGCUAGGGUCUCGAACCGGAUUAGAUACCCGGGUAGUCCUAGCCGUAAACAAUGCCUGCUAGGUGUGGCUCCCACUACGAGUGGGUGCUGUGCCGUAGGGAAGCCGCUAAGCAGGCCGCCUGGGAUGUACGUCCGCAAGGAUGAAACUUAA
RNAcentral lists this ribosomal RNA (515 nucleotides) under uncultured archaeon. Its description in RNAcentral is "bacterial SSU rRNA". It matches the Rfam family "Archaeal small subunit ribosomal RNA", at positions 345 to 859 of the family's 1478-position model. The record is from RNAcentral.